GACGUAGGGCGCGAGCGUUGUCCGGAUUUAUUGGGCGUAAAGAGCUCGUAGGCGGCUUGUCGCGUCGUUCGUGAAAACCCACGGCUUAACUGUGGGCUUGCGGUCGAUACGGGCAGACUAGAGUGUGGUAGGGGAGACUGGAAUUCCUGGUGUAGCGGUGGAAUGCGCAGAUAUCAGGAGGAACACCGAUGGCGAAGGCAGGUCUCUGGGCCACUACUGACGCUGAGAAGCGAAAGCAUGGGGAGCGAACAGG
RNAcentral lists this ribosomal RNA (253 nucleotides) under uncultured bacterium. RNAcentral's name for it is "partial 16S ribosomal RNA". It matches the Rfam family "Bacterial small subunit ribosomal RNA", at positions 524 to 776 of the family's 1533-position model. The record is from RNAcentral.